GAUGAACGCUGGCGGCGUGCCUAAUACAUGCAAGUCGAGCGAACAGACGAGGAGCUUGCUCCUCUGACGUUAGCGGCGGACGGGUGAGUAACACGUGGAUAACCUACCUAUAAGACUGGGAUAACUUCGGGAAACCGGAGCUAAUACCGGAUAAUAUAUUGAACCGCAUGGUUCAAUAGUGAAAGACGGUUUUGCUGUCACUUAUAGAUGGAUCCGCGCCGCAUUAGCUAGUUGGUAAGGUAACGGCUUACCAAGGCAACGAUGCGUAGCCGACCUGAGAGGGUGAUCGGCCACACUGGAACUGAGACACGGUCCAGACUCCUACGGGAGGCAGCAGUAGGGAAUCUUCCGCAAUGGGCGAAAGCCUGACGGAGCAACGCUGCGUGAGUGAUGAAGGUCUUCGGAUCGUAAAACUCUGUUAUUAGGGAAGAACAAAAGUGUAAGUAACUAUGCACGUCUUGACGGUACCUAAUCAGAAAGCCACGGCUAACUACGUG
Molecule: ribosomal RNA, 497 nt
Filed under: uncultured bacterium
Lineage: Bacteria
Description: partial 16S ribosomal RNA
Rfam family: Bacterial small subunit ribosomal RNA
Source: RNAcentral